This 619-nucleotide ribosomal RNA is filed under the name Pseudomonas koreensis. RNAcentral's name for it is "bacterial SSU rRNA". It matches the Rfam family "Bacterial small subunit ribosomal RNA", at positions 104 to 719 of the family's 1533-position model. RNAcentral also lists the same sequence under 1 other name. Lineage: Bacteria; Pseudomonadati; Pseudomonadota; Gammaproteobacteria; Pseudomonadales; Pseudomonadaceae. The record is from RNAcentral.
GGGUGAGUAAUGCCUAGGAAUCUGCCUGGUAGUGGGGGACAACGUUUCGAAAGGAACGCUAAUACCGCAUACGUCCUACGGGAGAAAGCAGGGGACCUUCGGGCCUUGCGCUAUCAGAUGAGCCUAGGUCGGAUUAGCUAGUUGGUGAGGUAAUGGCUCACCAAGGCGACGAUCCGUAACUGGUCUGAGAGGAUGAUCAGUCACACUGGAACUGAGACACGGUCCAGACUCCUACGGGAGGCAGCAGUGGGGAAUAUUGGACAAUGGGCGAAAGCCUGAUCCAGCCAUGCCGCGUGUGUGAAGAAGGUCUUCGGAUUGUAAAGCACUUUAAGUUGGGAGGAAGGGUUGUAGAUUAAUACUCUGCAAUUUUGACGUUACCGACAGAAUAAGCACCGGCUAACUCUGUGCCAGCAGCCGCGGUAAUACAGAGGGUGCAAGCGUUAAUCGGAAUUACUGGGCGUAAAGCGCGCGUAGGUGGUUCGUUAAGUUGGAUGUGAAAUCCCCGGGCUCAACCUGGGAACUGCAUCCAAAACUGGCGAGCUAGAGUAUGGUAGAGGGUGGUGGAAUUUCCUGUGUAGCGGUGAAAUGCGUAGAUAUAGGAAGGAACACCAGUGGCGAA